This 500-nucleotide ribosomal RNA is filed under the name uncultured bacterium. RNAcentral's name for it is "partial 16S ribosomal RNA". It matches the Rfam family "Bacterial small subunit ribosomal RNA", at positions 30 to 523 of the family's 1533-position model. The record is from RNAcentral.
AUUGAACGCUGGCGGCAUGCCUUACACAUGCAAGUCGAACAGCAGCACGGGAGCAAUCCUGGUGGCGGGUGGCGAACGGGUGAGUAAAGUAUCGGAACGUGCCCAGUCGUGGGGGAUAACGUAGCGAAAGUUACGCUAAUACCGCAUACGAUCUAUGGAUGAAAGCGGGGGAUCGCAAGACCUCGCGCGAUUGGAGCGGCCGAUAUCAGAUUAGGUAGUUGGUGGGGUAAAGGCCCACCAAGCCGACGAUCUGUCGCUGGUUUGAGAGGACGACCAGCCACACUGGGACUGAGACACGGCCCAGACUCCUACGGGAGGCAGCAGUGGGGAAUUUUGGACAAUGGGCGAAAGCCUGAUCCAGCCAUGCCGCGUGCAGGAUGAAGGCCUUCGGGUUGUAAACUGCUUUUGUACGGAACGAAAAGGUUUGGCCUAAUAAGCUGAGCUCAUGACGGUACCGUAAGAAUAAGCACCGGCUAACUACGUGCCAGCCGCCGCAGUAA